This 1591-nucleotide ribosomal RNA is filed under the name Acinetobacter baumannii. Its description in RNAcentral is "bacterial LSU rRNA". It matches the Rfam family "Bacterial large subunit ribosomal RNA", at positions 1355 to 2925 of the family's 2925-position model. Lineage: Bacteria; Pseudomonadati; Pseudomonadota; Gammaproteobacteria; Moraxellales; Moraxellaceae. The record is from RNAcentral.
CAGUCCAACGUUAAUCGGGGCUGGGUGAGUCGACCCCUAAGGCGAGGCCGAAAGGCGUAGUCGAUGGGAAAAUGGUUAAUAUUCCAUUACUUCUGUGUAAUGCGAUGAGAGGACGGAGAAGGCUAAAUCAGCCUGGCGUUGGUUGUCCAGGUGAAAGGAUGUAGGCAUGUAUCUUAGGCAAAUCCGGGGUACUCUAUGCUGAGAUCUGAUAGCAAGCUGUACUUGUACAGCGAAGUGGUUGAUGCCAUGCUUCCAGGAAAAGUCUCUAAGCUUCAGUUACACAGGAAUCGUACCCGAAACCGACACAGGUGGUCAGGUCGAGUAGACCAAGGCGCUUGAGAGAACUCUGCUGAAGGAACUAGGCAAAAUGGUACCGUAACUUCGGGAGAAGGUACGCUGUUGUUGGUGAUGGAACUCGCUUCCUGAGCUGACGACAGCCGCAGAAACCAGGCCGCUGCAACUGUUUAUUAAAAACAUAGCACUCUGCAAACACGAAAGUGGACGUAUAGGGUGUGAUGCCUGCCCGGUGCUGGAAGGUUAAUUGAUGGGGUUAGCGUAAGCGAAGCUCUUGAUCGAAGCCCCAGUAAACGGCGGCCGUAACUAUAACGGUCCUAAGGUAGCGAAAUUCCUUGUCGGGUAAGUUCCGACCUGCACGAAUGGCAUAAUGAUGGCGGCGCUGUCUCCAGCAGAGGCUCAGUGAAAUCGAAAUCGCUGUGAAGAUGCAGUGUACCCGCGGCUAGACGGAAAGACCCCGUGAACCUUUACUGCAGCUUGACACUGAACUUUGACCUUACUUGUGUAGGAUAGGUGGGAGGCUUUGAAGCUGGAACGCUAGUUCCAGUGGAGCCGUCCUUGAAAUACCACCCUGGUAAUGUUGAGGUUCUAACUCUGUCCCGUGAUCCGGGACGAGGACCGUGUCUGGUGGGUAGUUUGACUGGGGCGGUCUCCUCCUAAAGAGUAACGGAGGAGUACGAAGGUGCGCUCAGCGUGGUCGGAAAUCACGCGUAGAGUAUAAAGGCAAAAGCGCGCUUAACUGCGAGACCCACAAGUCGAGCAGGUACGAAAGUAGGUCUUAGUGAUCCGGUGGUUCUGUAUGGAAGGGCCAUCGCUCAACGGAUAAAAGGUACUCUGGGGAUAACAGGCUGAUACCGCCCAAGAGUUCAUAUCGACGGCGGUGUUUGGCACCUCGAUGUCGGCUCAUCUCAUCCUGGGGCUGAAGCAGGUCCCAAGGGUAUGGCUGUUCGCCAUUUAAAGAGGUACGCGAGCUGGGUUUAGAACGUCGUGAGACAGUUCGGUCCCUAUCUACCGUGGGCGCUGGAAAUUUGAGAGGAUCUGCUCCUAGUACGAGAGGACCAGAGUGGACGAACCUCUGGUGUACCGGUUGUGACGCCAGUCGCAUCGCCGGGUAGCUAUGUUCGGAAGGGAUAACCGCUGAAAGCAUCUAAGCGGGAAGCCUACCUCAAGAUAAGAUUUCCCUAGGACUUUAUGUCCUCUAAAGAGCCGUUCGAGACUAGGACGUUGAUAGGUUGGAUGUGGAAGCAUAGUGAUAUGUGAAGCUGACCAAUACUAAUUGCUCGUGAGGCUUGACUAU